Molecule: transfer RNA, 71 nt
Filed under: Phrynosoma platyrhinos (Desert horned lizard)
Lineage: Eukaryota; Metazoa; Chordata; Lepidosauria; Squamata; Phrynosomatidae
Description: tRNA-OTHER
Source: RNAcentral
GACAGUGUGGUGUAGUGGUUUGGAUGUUGGAUUAUGACUCUGGGGAACAGAGUUCAAUCCUUGCUCUGUCA